UACUCUCAUACUCUCUGAUCCUUUGGAUUCAGCGAGUGGUGGACUUGGGUGUUUGCUGCUUUCCUUGUGGCUCACCUCAAAUGUGUUAGUGCACCUCUUGGUUGGACAUAGUACGGCGUGAUAAGUGUCUUCGCCGGCACCUCGCAAGAGGGUGGCUGAUCGGGAGCUCUGUGCUUUCAAACCGUCAUUCGACAAUCACUGACAAC
This 206-nucleotide unclassified non-coding RNA is filed under the name uncultured Sebacina. Its description in RNAcentral is "sequence contains ITS2". The record is from RNAcentral. Lineage: Eukaryota; Fungi; Basidiomycota; Agaricomycetes; Sebacinales; Sebacinaceae.